This 741-nucleotide ribosomal RNA is filed under the name Bacillus thuringiensis. RNAcentral describes it as "bacterial SSU rRNA". It matches the Rfam family "Bacterial small subunit ribosomal RNA", at positions 88 to 813 of the family's 1533-position model. Lineage: Bacteria; Bacillati; Bacillota; Bacilli; Caryophanales; Bacillaceae. The record is from RNAcentral.
GAAGUUAGCGGCGGACGGGUGAGUAACACGUGGGUAACCUGCCCAUAAGACUGGGAUAACUCCGGGAAACCGGGGCUAAUACCGGAUAACAUUUUGAACUGCAUGGUUCGAAAUUGAAAGGCGGCUUCGGCUGUCACUUAUGGAUGGACCCGCGUCGCAUUAGCUAGUUGGUGAGGUAACGGCUCACCAAGGCAACGAUGCGUAGCCGACCUGAGAGGGUGAUCGGCCACACUGGGACUGAGACACGGCCCAGACUCCUACGGGAGGCAGCAGUAGGGAAUCUUCCGCAAUGGACGAAAGUCUGACGGAGCAACGCCGCGUGAGUGAUGAAGGCUUUCGGGUCGUAAAACUCUGUUGUUAGGGAAGAACAAGUGCUAGUUGAAUAAGCUGGCACCUUGACGGUACCUAACCAGAAAGCCACGGCUAACUACGUGCCAGCAGCCGCGGUAAUACGUAGGUGGCAAGCGUUAUCCGGAAUUAUUGGGCGUAAAGCGCGCGCAGGUGGUUUCUUAAGUCUGAUGUGAAAGCCCACGGCUCAACCGUGGAGGGUCAUUGGAAACUGGGAGACUUGAGUGCAGAAGAGGAAAGUGGAAUUCCAUGUGUAGCGGUGAAAUGCGUAGAGAUAUGGAGGAACACCAGUGGCGAAGGCGACUUUCUGGUCUGUAACUGACACUGAGGCGCGAAAGCGUGGGGGAGCAAACAGGAUUAGAUACCCUGGUAGUCCACGCCGUAAACGAUGAG